Molecule: long non-coding RNA, 527 nt
Filed under: Mytilus galloprovincialis (Mediterranean mussel)
Lineage: Eukaryota; Metazoa; Mollusca; Bivalvia; Mytilida; Mytilidae
Source: RNAcentral
CUCAGGGAAUUAUCCGUUUGUCCGAUUAAACUGGUGUGUAUUGAGUCAGUGAUAGAACCAGUGAUGCGUGAGCGACGGUUAUUAAUAGAUCGUUGUAUAAUCCGUUAUCUGUGAGCAACGGAUAUUAAUAGAUCGUUGUGAUUAUAUACACUGUUUACAGUCAGAUAAAAAUAACCGUCUUAUUACCCUUUUCAGUCGAGAAAUAAAAAGCGGUGGUUUUGAUAUUAAAGUUACUUGCAAUUUAAAUAUCGAAUUUAGUUCAAUAAAGAAUAAUCUAUUUAAAUGUGACCAAUGAACAGGAAAAUGCACGUGGUAACUUUGCAAUACUACAAAUAUGUUCACCUUACAAAAUUCUUCUUUAUUGUCAUGUUAAGAUAAAUCAGUUCCUGUAAAAACAGUAAAAACAGACUCUUAAUUACUGCAGAUGCCGUAAUCCGACAUUAUGUCAUACUGAUUUGACACUUGUCUAAUGUGAGCAAUACCUGCUGUGAUAUUUUUGCAAUACAACAUGGACAAGCGGAAGGUCG